RNAcentral lists this ribosomal RNA (411 nucleotides) under uncultured bacterium. Its description in RNAcentral is "bacterial SSU rRNA". It matches the Rfam family "Bacterial small subunit ribosomal RNA", at positions 338 to 766 of the family's 1533-position model. The record is from RNAcentral.
CCUACGGGAGGCAGCAGGAGGGAAUCUUGCACAAUGGGCGAAAGCCUGAUGCAGCGACGCCGCGUGGGGGAUGAAGGCCCUAGGGUCGUAAACCCCUUUCAGGAGGGACGAUAAUGACGGUACCUCCAGAGAAGGCCCGGCCAACUACGUGCCAGCAGCCGCGGUAAGACGUAGGGGCCAAGCGUUGUCCGGAUUUAUUGGGCGUAAAGAGCUCGUAGGCGGUUGAGUAAGUCGGAUGUGAAAACUUGAGGCUCAACCUCAAGACGCCAUCCGAUACUGCGCUGACUUGAAUCCAGUAGGGGAGUGUGGAAUUCCUGGUGUAGCGGUGAAAUGCGCAGAUAUCAGGAGGAACACCUAUGGCGAAGGCAGCACUCUGGGCUGGUACUGACACUGAGGAGCGAAAGCAUGGGG